AAGCAUGAAUAAACUUCAUAAUUCCAAAUCAUGGAAUUUAUGGAAUCAACUCAUGCGAAAUUAAUUAGGGCUUUGGUGGGGGCCCGACAUUCAUAACACUCACUUUAAUACUGUUUGCUUGAUAUGAUGAUUUUUGAUUAUUCUUGAUGAAAUACUUGAAUUCACUUUAUAUCUAUUGUUGAGAUACCCUUGUUCCCAUAGACGCGUGGAUGCCCGCUAUCCAGGUACACUCUUCUUGCCCUCAAACUCUAAAAUUCUAUGAAUGUGUAUGUUAUCAUGAGCCAUGUCCAUGUUUGAUGCCAUAAUUGAUUGCCUUGAUGCUUGUUUGAUCAUGUUUCAUAAAAAUACAUAUUAUGCGUCGUAUUUUCAAACUAACCUUUGAUGUCUUGUGAUAGCGCUUAAGAAGCAGUCUAGGUAUGUACCCUAAAUCUUCUUCAUGUUUGUGAUUGGUUUUCCUGCUAAGCAUGCUUUUUUUCGAAAUCACCUAGCCUACUUAGGUAUCCAUGAUUAAUCGGUUAAUUGCUAUAUUUCCCUCAACUUAGUCAGUAGAGACCUCUUUAGGGCUUAGAGGGGUGCUACCUCCUAGGGGUACCUUCCCAAUAAGUAACCUGAUCCCCGGACUUAGACUCAGGUUUCCCAAAGACAUGCUUUUUCUAAAACUAUGGAGUCACUUUUUAGGGUUUUUCUUUCUUGUUUUAUUUUCCCUUUAAAAUAAAAAUAAAAUAGGUGGCGACUCCAACUUUUUCUAAAAUUAAUUUUUCACAAAUAAUAAAAAGCGAGUCUCGCCGAUCGAGUGGGGACGCAAGUGAAAAAUGCGGGUCCACAAAUUGGCGACUCCACUGGGGAUUUUGAGGAUCAAGCUUGAACACUAGUUAAGGAAAAUGUGGCGUUUAAUUGGUCGAUUAAUGGGUACCUCUUUUUUUAGGCAAGGUGAUUCGAUUUGCUUGCUUGUUUGGUUUGCUAUCUUAACAUGUUUGAUUGCCUUGGAUGAUCACUUGAUUGUUUUGCUCACUUUAGCAUGAUUCACUAUCACAUAUGUUAGAUUGGACUUUGUUUGUUUGAUAUUUAUUCGCUUCGCAUGACUGUUUGAAUGAUCACUUGAUUGUUUUGCUCACUUUAGCAUGAUUCACUCUCACAUAUGCUAGGUAGGACUUUGAUUGUUUGAUACAUAUCCGCUUCGCAUGACUGUUUGUUGCAUGACAACCCUUUUCUCUUGCAUGAUUGUAUGAUUGCUUGUCUUUGUUCACUCUCUCACUUUAGAUCUUAGGUUUUUCGGAUGCACCCACAUCCUUCAUUGUGCACUUUAGAUUAUCCUGAGUGUUGAGAGAUGGGAGAGCCUUCACCAUUAAGAAACCCCCCUGGGAACGCGAGGAAGUACAUGUGUGGAGGUGAUGACCACCUUGCAUGGAAGCACCCCGUCUCCUUGGAGGAGUGCAGAGGGUUGCGUACCGCCGGAGGGUACGAUCGCUUCUGCUAGGGAUCCUUUAACCCACCCAUCUUACCUUACAGAGCCACCUCAACCUUGUAGGUUAGCCUAGACCCAAUUAAGAUUUCAUUCCUACACGUGGGUGCAUUUGUGGACCUUCAGAGCUGCCUUGGUCACAAUUGGAUUCGGUUAUCCCUUCCUUAGUCUCCUUUUGGUGUAAUCAGAGGAGGGUAUCAGAUUGAGUACAUUUGGACUAUUUUCUUGCACACUUAUCAGCUGAUUCAUACAGAUUCGCUUUUGUACCGCACCUUAUCCAGUGUUUCCAUAUUUGUAGGAGAGUUUAUCGUGACCAGUCUGGACUCACCUUUGUGGAUUAGAGUUGGAGGCAGAUUGACCAGAGUAUCAGACCAGUUAGACCAGAGAUCAGAUCAGGGGGAUAUGGAUUCUCAGAUAGUUACCGUUGACCAGUUUGCUGCGGCCAUGGCUUCGAUCCAGGAGGCUAUAGCUAGCCUUGGCCAGAGGAUAGAUGGGCAGCAGGCCCGACAGGUCCCAGUUCAGGAGGAUAUCCAGUUUGAUACCACAGUACCACCACCACCUCCGCAUAGUCAGCCAGCACCACAAACUAUACCUUUUACUCUGCAUAGUCAGACUGAGGUUGCACCACCUCCUGUCGUAGUGCCUACUCCGAUCUCAGAGGACCCACAUACUCGUAUGGAUAAACUUGAGCAGAAGUUGAGACAGAUGAGGACUUCAGAGGGAGCUAUUACUUGGGAGGAUUUUGAUGGAGCACCAGUGGCCAGUCUACCGGCCAAGUUCAGGAUGCCUGAGAUUGAGAGAUACACAGGCAUGGGAUGCCCUCGCAUCCAUUUGAGACUCUAUAGUACUGUUAUGAGGGCCCAUGGGCUGGAUGAUGCCCAGAUGGUUAUGCUCUUCCCUAUGUCAUUGAGUGGAGCUGCACAGCGUUGGUUCGCUUCAUUGGAGGUAUCACGUCGUAGGACUUGGGAUGACUUAGCCCAGGAGUUUUUGAGACAGUUUACAUUUAACACUGUCAUUGAUGUUUCGAGGAGAGAGUUAGAGGCUUUGAGACAGAGGCCAGAGGAGUCAGUCACUUCAUUUAUCUCCCGCUGGAGAGAGAAGAUUUCACAGAUUAUUGAUCGUCCUUCCGAGAAGGAUCAGAUUAGCAUGAUCAUGAGGAGCUUGCAGCCUAGAUUUGCUAGACACUUGAUGGGAUUUCCUCAUACGGAUUUCAGAUCUUUGGUACAGGCUUUGUAUGGUAUAGAGGAGGGCAUUGCUAGAGGAUUAUGGUUUGAGUCUUCCCCUACUGAUUCUAAGGGGAAGAGGCCUUUAGGAGGACAGAGAUCAGGAGAUGUUGGUGCUAUCAGUUCAGUAGGGAUGAGACCUUCUAGACGCUAUCAGACAGUUGGGCAGACUCUUGGGUACUACUAUCCACCUUCACCUCAUGCGCAUUACAGACCACCUGCUCCUUCCAGACCCAUGACUCCUACUUAUCUGCAUUCGGACUCACAACCUGUUUUUGCUGCACACGUCGCAGAGAGGCCUCUUGCCCCAUAUACUCGACCCCGAGCUCCACAGACCACUACUUAUGUGCAGAGGCCACCACGUCAGUUUGCUCAGUUGGGUAUGCCUUUGAGUCGAGCUUUUCAGAAGCUCACAGAGGGUGGAUUACUGAUUCCAUUAGCAUCCAGGCCUUUACCCCAACCCAUACCACCUCGCUUCAGGAUGGACUUACAUUGUUCCUACCAUCAGGGACCAGGGCAUGACACGGACCAUUGCACUGCUUUGAGACAUGCUAUUCAGGACUUGAUAGACCAGGGUUUGGUCAACUUGGGGCAGCCAAGUGUGACCACUAACCCUCUUCCUGCUCAUUCUACACACGCAGUACAUCCAUCUUUAGGAGAUAUUCAUCACAUGGACCUUAUAGAGGAUGACAGUAUACACAUGUUGAGUUGGGAUGAUGGAUUACCUGAGCCAAUUGUUCUGCAUGACAGCUAUGAGAUUGAUGGGGUUUCAUUGGUCCCUCAGAUUCCUGCACCAUUCAGUUUGAUCCCGGACGAGGCACCAUUCCAGUUGACUCAUCCUACACCCUUAGUUAUCGGAUGUCAGGAUACUUUUGUCCCAUUCACUUUAUGGCCAGAGGAUGAUGAUUCAGCAGGGAGAGAGAUACAGAUUGUGACUCGCAGUGGGAGGAUAGCUCAGCCACCACCACCAGCAGUCAGACCAUUUGAGGGUACAGCCUCUCAUGAGGAGGUUAGGAAAGAGGAUGAUGAGGUUUUGAGACAGCUACAGAGCACUCAGGCUCGCAUUUCCAUCUGGAGUUUAUUAGCAUCAUCCAGUACUCAUAGAGAUGCUUUGAUUCGAGCCUUGAGUCAGAUCAGAGUAGAGACUACCACCACUCCAGAGGGAUUGAUUCAUAUGAUGACGGCUGGCAGGGCCACUUGCAUUGUAUUUUCAGAUGAUGACUUGCCACCUGAUGGUUUAGACCACGUGCGCCCUCUAUACAUCACAGUUGGAUGUUCAGGCCGUAGAGUCCCGUCUGUCCUACUGGACAACGGCUCAGCCCUGAAUGUUUGCCCUUUAGCCACUGCUAUAGCCCUUGGUUUCGCGCCUUCAGAUUUUGGUCCUUCUACUCAGACAGUCAGAGCGUAUGAUAGCACCAAGAGGGAGGUUAUGGGUACCUUGAUGAUCGAUUUGCAGAUUGGUCCAGCCACAUUUUCCACUUUGUUCCAGGUUUUGAGGAUUCCUGCAUCCUUUAACCUGCUACUAGGCCGACCAUGGAUUCAUGUAGCUGGAGCUAUUCCUUCUUCCCUUCAUCAGAAGGUGAAAUUUAUUCAUGAUGGGCAGGUCAUCACAGUGCGCUCUACCAGGGAUAUAUUUGCAUCUUCUGAGCCAGUACUUCAGAUCAGUCACAGUGAGGACGACCUACUUCUGACUGGGUUUAUUUUUGAUGAGAUACAGACUCUCGAGAUUGAGGAUUUUUGUAGAGACUUUGUGGCUAUGUCGUUUGAUCAGCACAGUAGCACAGUGGUUCUUGAUAUGAUGAAGGGUAUGACCUUUCUACCUGGCAUGGGGUUAGGACGACGUCAGCAGGGACCGAGCGAGUUCAUAGCUGCCAUUGACCAUGAUACGACAUUUGGACUUGGAUUCAUCCCUACUGAGGCCGAUUACCGUCACAUGGCGCGGCUGCGCAAGGAGAGGGUGAGAGCCCGCUUAUCCCACACACCAUUUGAUUAUCCUAUUCGACCCUAUAGGAUGAGUUUGGCUGACUACUUUGUCAGAGGAUCAGAGACUCGACCUCGUCUAGAGGAGAUUGAUAGUGUGGCUCAUACAGAUAGAGAGACCGAUCUUCAGCAUCUAUUUCACCAGCUACAGUUGAGUGAUGGGGCUCCCAACACUUUUUUCCCUAUGACGAUUACUCCCACGUCUCCAGAUCGAGCUAGCAUGUUGUCUCUAUGCUUUCCAGAGGAGAUCACGAGUGAUGGGGUGAUUGUUGAUCCUACUGAAGUGAUUGAUGGAGUUGUUCCCCAUGAUGAGUACCGUGAUGAGAUGGACAUGAUGACCGUGAGCUAGAUUGCCGGCAUUGUUCAGCUUCAGCCUGUUUCAGCAUUUGAUAUGUUUGGGGUGUCUACCAUUGAGGUUUUUGAGGGGACUCAGACUCUUCCUGUUGCAGAGCUUCCAGAUGAUGAUAGUAGUUUGUUUGAGGGCAUUGUUAGCCCAGUUGAGAGAGCGUCCGACCCUGUGGACCCACCUCUUUCUUUUGAUGUUUUAUCGGGAUUUGUCUCCCGCUCUGACGAUGUUUCUGUUGCUUCAUUUAUGGAUUUGAGCAUUUUUGAGUAUUCGCCAGUCUCUUGUGAUAGUAUCUCUACAUCUGCACCUCACUCACCAAUUACACAGAUAUUUGAUAUAGAUGAUGAGAUUGCACAUCCCAGUUCGGAUAGGGACUCUUUUGAUCAUGACUCUAGUCCCAUAGAUGAGAGAGUUUCACCUGCUGCAGGGGACGUUGAGACUGUUGAUUUUGGCACAGAGGAUCAGCCUAGAGAGUUGAAGAUUGGUUCACCCCUAUCUACAGAUGAGAGAGAUAGACUCAUCCAUUUACUCAGGUCAUACUUGGAUGUCUUUGCAUGGUCUUAUGAGGACAUGCCAGGUCUUGAUCCCUCUAUAGUCCAGCACCAUUUACCUACCCUACCGCAUGCUAGACCAAUUAAGCAAAAAUUGAGACGGUUGCAUCCACGUUGCAGUCUACAGGUAAAAGAGGAGAUUCAGAAACAACUCAGUGUUGGGUUCAUAUCAGUAGUUGAGUAUCCAGAGUGGUUGGCUAAUGUCGUCCCUGUUCCUAAAAAGGAUGGCAAAGUUAGGGUUUGUGUUGACUUCAGAGAUCUCAAUAAAGCCAGCCCUAAAGAUGACUUUCCCCUUCCACACAUUGAUUUGUUGGUUGAUGGCACCACAGGCCAUUCGAGGUUGUCUUUCAUGGAUGGGUUUUCAGGGUAUAAUCAGAUUUUGAUGGCUCCAGAGGAUAUGGAGAAGACAGCCUUUAUUACUGAGUGGGGUACCUACUGUUACAGAGUUAUGCCAUUUGGGUUGAAGAACGCAGGAGCCACUUAUCAGAGAGCCGCUACCACUUUGUUUCAUGACAUGAUGCAUAGGGAUGUCGAGGUUUACGUGGAUGAUAUGAUUGUGAAAUCCCGAGGUAGAACAGAUCACCUAGAUGCUUUAGAGAGAUUCUUUGAGAGGAUCCGGAAGUUUAGAUUGAGGUUGAAUCCCAAGAAGUGCACUUUUGGAGUGACUUCUGGGAAGUUAUUGGGACAUAUAGUCAGUGAGCGGGGCAUAGAGGUCGACCCAGAUAAAAUCAAAGUCAUACUUGACAUGCCUGCACCAAAGACUGAGAAAGAGAUUAGAGGUUUUCUGGGCAGAUUACAGUACAUUAGUCGGUUCAUAGCCAGAUUGACAGACAUAUGUGAGCCUAUCUUUCGUCUUUUGAGGAAGAACCAGCCAACAAUUUGGAAUGAUGACUGUCAGUUUGCAUUUGAGAAGAUCAAGGAGUAUUUGCUUUCUCCUCCUAUUUUAGUGCCUCCUACGCCAGGACGUCCACUUCUUUUAUAUUUGUCAGUUUCAGACAUGGCCUUGGGAUGUAUGUUAGCUCAGAUUGAUGACUUAGGAAAGGAGCGAGCUAUUUACUACCUAAGUAAGAGGAUGUUGGAGUAUGAGAUGAAAUAUGUUAUGAUUGAGCACCUAUGCUUAGCACUAGUUUGGGCUACCAGGAGAUUGAGGCAUUACAUGACAGAGUACUCAGUACAUUUGAUAUCCCGCCUGGACCCGUUGAGAUACUUGUUUGAUAGACCUGCAUUGACUGGUAGAUUGAUGAGAUGGCUUGUGCUUUUGACAGAGUUCGAUAUUCAGUAUGUUUCUCAGAAGUCUAUUAAGGGAAGUAUUGUUGCCGAUCACUUAGCCUCACUACCGACAUCUGAGGACAGACCAGUUGAUGAUGAUUUUCCAGAUGAGGAGUUUGUUGCUAUGACCAGCUUAUCGGGAUGGUGCAUGUACUUCGAUGGUGCAGCCAAUCAGUCAGGGUAUGGGAUUGGUGUUCUAUUGGUAUCCCCUCAGGGCGAUCACAUUCCGAGGUCCAUUUGUUUGGCAUUCUCUGAUCGACAUCCUGCCACGAAUAACAUAGUUGAGUAUGAGGCUUGUAUCCUUGGUUUAGAGACUGCAUUGGAGCUUGACAUUAGACAGAUGGAGGUGUUUGGUGACUCCAAUCUCGUACUCAGGCAGAUUCAGGAGGAUUGGAAGACUAGGGACGUGAAGCUUAGGCCAUAUCAUGCUUAUUUAGAGUUGUUGGUUGCGAGAUUUGCCGACUUGAGAUAUGUUCAUCUGCCUAGAGCGCAGAACCGAUUUGCUGACGCCUUAGCUACUUUAGCUUCCUCCGUGGACAUUCCGAUUGAUGUAGUCAUACGUCCAUUACUGAUUGAGUCCAGGUCUGCACCCGCCUAUUGUUGUUUGAUUGGAGAGAUAGAGGACCAGGAUGAUCUACCUUGGUAUCAUGACAUUUAUCAGUUCCUUAGAUCUGGCACAUACCCUGAGGUAGCCACUACCAAGGAUCGGAGAGCACUGAGGCAUUUGGCUACUAGAUUUGUGAUUUGCGGAGAUACCUUAUACAGGCGAUCAGCUGAUGGUAUGCUUCUGUUGUGUUUAGAUCGAGCCUCUGCAGAUCGAGUGAUGAGAGAGGUCCAUUCAAGAGUUUGUGGUCCGCAUAUGGGAGGACACAUGCUAGCCCGUAAGAUUAUGAGGACGGGCUAUUUCUGGUUGACUAUGGAGACAGAUUGUUGUCAGUUUGUCCAGAAAUGCCCAGAGUGUCAGAUUCAUGGUGAUCUCAUACAUGCACCACCAUCAGAGUUACACGCCUUGACCUCUCCAUGGCCAUUCUCAGUAUGGGGUAUUGAUAUUAUUAGGAAGGUUUCACCAAAAUCUUCCAGUGGUCACGAGUUCAUCCUGGUUGCCAUAGAUUAUUUCACCAAGUGGGUGGAGGCUGCAUCAUAUGCGAGGUUGACAUCUGCUAGGGUUGCUAGUUUUAUCAGAUCACACAUCAUUUGCCGCUAUGGGGUUCCUCAUGAGCUGAUUUCAGACAGAGGGGUGCACUUCCGAGCUGAGGUAGACACUUUGUUGCAGGAGUAUGGCAUCCGACAUCAUAGAUCUUCAGCAUAUAGGCCACAGACCAAUGGGGCAGUAGAGGCUACAAACAAGAAUAUUAAGAGGAUUUUGAGGAAGAUGGUUGAGACUUCUCGAGAUUGGUCAGAGAAGCUUCCUUUUGCAUUGUGGGCGUACCGCACCUCUUUUCGCACCUCUACAGGAGCUACGCCUUACUCCCUAGUGUAUGGUAUGGAGGCUGUUUUGCCAGUCGAGACAGAGAUGGGCUCAUUGAGAGUAGCCCUUGAGCAGCAGAUUUCUGAGACAGAGUGGGCUCAGGCUCGAUUUGAUCAGCUUAACCUUUUAGAUGAGAGGAGAUUGAGAGCAGCAGAUCAUGUUCAAGCCUAUCAGAGAAAGAUGGCUCGUGCCUUCAAGAAACGGGUUAAGCCUAGACCAUUGCAAAAAGGGGAUUUAGUUUUGAGGAUUCUCAGAGGUUUGAUUAGAGACCCUAGAGGAAAGUUUAGACCUAGUUGGAGUGGGCCUUAUGUUAUCCGAGAGUUGACUCCAGAAGGGGCUGCAUGGUUGACAGACUUAGAUGGAAACCAAUUUUCAGAGCCCACCAACGUGGAUCAGCUGAAGAAGUAUUAUGUUUGAGACCGUGGUCGCAGGAUGGGUGGCCAUCAUUUCGGUUAGCCUUACACCUUAUCACCUUUAUUGAAAUAUUAAACCAUUGCUAGCCCAUUGAGCCUCACGUGGUAUAUUAUAGCCUUAUUUCUUUCUUAUAGCUUUGAUUACCAUUUCUACACCCGGGUUGGGGCCCUUUGAUGUAUAUGCAUGCUUUGCUAGGAAAGUCUCAUGAGCUUUAGACUUAUAAAUCUAUCUUCUCAUUUUGUUACCAUCCUCUUAUCACCCUAUUUGUUCUAUUUUAUUAUCACCACAUAUUCAUUCUCUUUCUUGUCUUUAUCAUUAUUCGUUUCAUCUUAUCCAUUCUCUUCCUUGGGUCGAUGAUUCUUCACAUCUUAGUGCAAAGAGGGCAGUCAUAUCACUCUAUUCGUUCCAUCAUUUGACAUUGAUUCGGAGAUCUUAGUUUGAGAGUUUGUCUCAUGGGUUAGGGUUCAUGUAUUCAUCAGUGAUUUGAGAGAGUUUAUUCAUUUCUUGUAUCUUUCCCAUUGGAGUUUGACUUAUUGAUGAUUAGAGCAUGCGCAAAAAAAAAAAAAAAAAAAAAAAAAAAAAAAAAAAAAAAACAACAAAAAAAAAAAACAAAAAAAAAACAAAACAAAAAAAAAAGAAAGAAAAAAAAGCGCAAUGACAUGUUUGUGUAUGGCAUCUUGCUCCAUUGGGUACUUAUAUCACCUUUUGAGGUCGGCUUACUAGGUAUAUUUGACAUUGUGGGUUCUUGUGAGAUGUUUAUAUGAGUUUUCACUCCUUGAGCCACUCUUGUUACGCAUUUGGAGUGUCGAGGAUUCAUGUGAGAGUUCUAUGAGAUCCUAUGCUGCUUGGAUCAUGAUUGAUAUAUAUUAGGUAUGAGAGAUGAGUGAUCUUUUUACUAGGGUCUCCGGAUCAUUGUCUUAUACCCAUCAUUCCAUCAUUGGUGAUAUGACUUUCCUUUAUUGUACUAACAUGGGUUGAUCAUCACUCAUUCCACUUUCUCAUUGCUUUCUUUUGCACCCCAUUAUCGCUUUCUAGAUCUUUGUUCCACCUUUUAUUCAUUCCCUACAUAUUGAUACCCAUUACUGAUUUGAUACUUUUUUCACAUCAUUCACAUAUUUCAUUGAUGGUUUGACCAUUCAUCCUUUCUCUCAUUUCGUUAUCGGCAUUCCCUUUGGUUACUUCUAAGUCCAUGACUCAUGAGAUUUUUCUAUGCAUUACAUCUUGUACACGAGGGUACGGGUUUGAUCAUUGGGUAUUUGAGCCUAGUUUCCCUUCAUUUCUUUCACCCCACUACCUUGGCCUACGUUACGUCCCGUGUCUUAAGACCACCCUGAGGCCACGAGAUCAGACGAUAUCUUUGACAGUCUUCACUUGGACAGGUUUUUGGUAGAUUGGUUGAAGUAUGGUCGUUACUAUGUUCUCUUUUAUGGAAGAUACUUUUGGAAGCAUUUGGUCUCUCUCUUGCUUGGCAUAUUGAUGUUUGAUGGAUUUCUGGGUUUGGAGAUAGUUCAUUGAGGAUAUUGGAUUCAUCCUUUGGUUGUGCAUUAGAUAUCCAUACUGGGGCAUAUUCCCCUUUCAUUUGGCUGAGAUGAGCCCCUAGUGGAGCACUUUCUUUGAGCUUGGACAUUUUCAUUGAUCCGAGAUCCCUAGUGAGGUAUGUUGAGACUAUAUCAGUUCUAGUGGAGCAUCGUUGAGCCCCUAGUGGUUCCAUUUGCGGAGUAUUUUUUAGAGAGACUAGUGGAUUAUUACUGAGUUGGAGGCAGUUUUCAGUGCAGUGUAUAGAUCAGGCAUACUAGGGCAUAUUUCCCCAUUUUGAGGUUACCAGAUUCCUAUCAGAUUCAGUCAGGGAUUCAUCAGAGACAUGUUUCUACUUUUGAGAUUACUACAUCCCUCAUCAUUUUGGCUAUUCAUUUGAGAUUAGAUUUAGAGUGUCUCCUUUGAGGCAUUGGUCGAUACUUCACUCUGACUUCUUGGCGGAUUAUUGUUGAGCUGAGGACAGUUGAUUGAUGAUGUUGGAUUCAUCCUUUGGUUGUGCAUUAUAUAUUCACAUUGGGGCAUAUUCCACCUUCCCUCGAGAUUCCUAUUUGUUAUUAUGCGGUAUGACUAUCCUUAUUCAUGGUUAUAGAGAUGUUCGGUUGAUUUUGACAGACUCUUCAUUGUACAUCAGAUAUCCACACUGGGGCAUAUUCCCCUCUCCUUGAUGAGAUUGUGUUUGGGCAGUGGUACGAGGAUGGAUGAUCAUUGUUUGUUGUUUACCUUAUGAUUUUGACACCGGAUAUCCACACUGGGGCAUAUUCCCCUCUCCUUGAUGAGAUUGUGUUUGGGCAGUGGUACGAGGAUGGAUGAUCAUUGUUAGUUUGUUUGCCUCACGACUUCGACAUCCGAUAUCCAUACUGGGGCAUAUUCCCCUCUCCUUGAUGAGAUUGUGUUUGGGCAGUGGUAUGAGGAUGGAUGAUCAUUGUUUGUUGUUUGCCUCACAACUUUGACAUCAGAUCUUAUACUGGGGCAUAUUUCCCCCAUUUUCUUUGAGUAUCCUUGAGAUUGAGACAGUGGCCAGUUCGGUUUUAGAUUGAGUACUAGCCCAGAGCUUCCGACGAUCGACUAUAUCAGGGCUUCCCUACAUGGAUUUGUUGAGAUAGAGACGGAUCGCAUCAGGUUUCACCCGAGGAGUGUGGGUGGAUCCUUUAGCCAGAUGUUCAUGAGACAGAUUUGUUUUCGUCAUUGUUACCUUGCAGAUUGGAUUAUCCAGAUGAGCAGCAUUUUACGCACCUUGAGGUUUACUUUUAGAUGAGUCAUGAUAUACACUCUUUGAGAUUUACCUUUUGAGAUUCAUCGAUAGAGCAGCUUUUUAGACAUAGAGGGUUCCUUCAGUUUAGACUUUUCAGAGGUCUGUCACGAUGCAUCGGUUUCUGACCUAUUGAUUUCAGCGGAUGAUUGAUUUACUGGUUGUUUCAGCAGUGUGAGCACCCUGGAUACUGGGGCAUAUUUCCCUUCUUGGUUUCAGUAGUCCGACCCUUGACAUUUUGAGUAUGUGGCUUUGAGCCAAUUUAUUUCAUGUCCACUUUCGAGUUGGUCUUCUCUAUUAUUCCCUUCUAGGCCCUGAGCCUCAUAGUUUUGAGUUAUUCAUUCCUUCUAGACCCCGAGUCUUAUAGCCUUAAGCAUCCUUUUCCCCUUAGGCCCUGAGCCCGCUAGCCCUGAGCUAUCCUUUUUUUAGGCCCUGAGCCUCGUAGCCAUGAGUUAUCCAUUCCUUCUAGACCCUAAGUCUUAUAGCUCGGAGCUAUCUUUUUUCCUUUAGGCCCUGAGCCCGCUAGCCCUGAGCUAUCAUUUCCUAUAGACCCAGAGUCUUUGCAGCUCUUAGCUGAGCUUUCAUCAUUUGGUCGCCCAUGAGUGGUUUGACCUGGAGUUUGCGUAUCGCAUUCUUCUUCUAGCCGAUCAGUCAUAGAGCCCGGAGCUCAUAGCCCUGAGCUACUCAUCGACCCAGAGUCAUUUUUCAUCUUGACCCAGAGUCAUUCAUAGCACCCCGAGCCCUGAGCUCACGACCCGGAGUCAUUUGAAUCACUCACAUCCCUGAGAUGUUUCGUUUUCAUCAUUCUAGCCACUUGUGAGUGGCCUCGACCCGACACCUUGAGUCGGAAAGUAUCCUGAUCGGCUAUCUAUUUAGAGCCCAGAGCUCUCGACCUAGAGUCAUUCUUAUCUAUUUAGAGCCCAGAGCUCUCGACCCAGAGUCAUUUUCCAUUUUGACCCAGAGUCAUUCUAUCUAUUUAGAGCCCAGAGUUCUCGACCCAGAGUCACUUUCCAUUUCGACCCAGAGUCAUUAUUUCCUAUUUUAGAGCCCAGAGCUCUCGACCCAGAGUCACUUUCCAUUUCGACCCAGAGUCGUUAUUUCCUAUUUUAGAGCCCGGAGCUCUCGACCCAGAGUCACUUUCCAUUUCGACCCAGAGUCAUUAUUUCCUAUUUUAGAGCUUGGAGCUCUCGACCCAGAGUCACUUUCCAUUACGGCCCAGAGUCAUUUCUUUUCCAUUUAGAGCCUAGAGCUCUCGACCUAGAGUCAUUUUCCUUUACGACCCAGAGUCAUUCUUUUCUAUUUUAGAGCCUGGAGCUCUCGACCCAGAGUCAUUUUCCAUUUUGACCCAGAGUCAUUUCUUUUCCAUUUAGAGGCUAGGGCUCUCGACCUAGAGUCGUUUUCCAUUUUGACCCCGAGUCAUUCUUUCCAAUUAGAGCCCUGAGCUCAUGACCCAGAGUCUUUUAUCCUAUUUUAGAUCCAGAGUCGUUCACCUUGUCCGUGAUCCAGAUUCACUCAUCUCAUCCAUGACUAAUCAUCCUUUUCACCACUUUCCAUCUUUGUGCUACUCGUCACAUGCCUUCUCUCUUUAUUGUCAUUUCCCCCCACAUAGAGUUGUCCUAUCCAUGUCGUUGAGACACCAUCUUUUGAUCUUACCCCUUCAUGUGCUAGGACAAAAUCUCUGGUCCUUCUUUAAUUCUUCGAUAUAGUUCACUUCAUUAUGCUCAUUACUCGUAUUUCUACUCACAUUCUCUACACUCGUGAUCUAUACCGAAGAGGGGCAUAUUUGUAGACCCUCAAUUUUGUCCCUUUAACACAUGUCUUUAAGUUCGUCUUCAGUGCUCCACAGUAGUUCCUUGGUGGCCCAGUACUACUCACCACUCACCUUUUUCUGAGUCACCUUGGAGACUUUGGUUGAGGGAUUAUUUGAUCCCUUAUUGUGACCCUUGGCAGCCCUAAUUUAGACUUAGGCUUUUCUUGUUUUUUUAGGAUAGCCUUUAGAUACACUUGGCCCAUUAGGCACCACCCUAGGUCCGCUUAGUCUCAUCAUAGGCCCGUUUAGGUACACUUGGCCCAUUUGGAUAUUUUUAGUGUGACUUAUAUGACUUGCAUGUUUGCAUCGCUCGUAGGGCCCAUUUUUUGUUAAUUUGUUUAUUUUUAUUUUAUUUUAUUUUAUUUUCCUCUUUAUAUUAUUUUCCUUAAUUUAUUUAUUUAUUUAUUAUUUUUACCAUUUUCUAAUUUAUUUACCUAUUUAUCUAUUAAUGCAAUUAUUUAACUUCUAAAAUUUCAUGUUUUUGCAAGGAAACUUACUAUUGAAGUUUAAGGAAGGCGGGACUCUCCUUGGAAGGUUUGGGAGAGGAAUUUGAAAUUAUGAAGAUUGCUUUUGAAUUGGAAGAUUUAAAAAAAAGGAUAAGGAGAAAAGAAGAGAGAAAAUAGGGGAUUUUUUCCUUUUGGGAACGGAUUUAGGAUUUAGGAGGUGAUAUAUAUAUGUGGGAGAGCUUUUUUUAUGAAGGAGAGGAGAUUUUUCUUGGAGAAAAAGCACGCAUUGGAGGCAUUGGAGAAGGAGGGAAGAAAAGCACGCAGCAACGAGAAGAGAGUGACUGCAGCAAAAGACUGUCCAGGUAUGCCCCUUGUUACUCUCAAUGUUCCUAUCCCUAUUCGAUUUCUCCACUUGGUUGUCUUUUCGUUUUAAUAUUUUUUAUAUUGCUGAUUGGUGUGGACGGAAAGGGCUACUAAGAUUGCUGUGUUGAAGUUGAUUCCUGUUAUUCAUUAUGCUCUCAUUCAUAUUCCGUUCUUCUUUAAUCUCUUACUGAUUCCAAGACGCCAUUUAUAUCAGCAUGAACAUCACGAUCACUAACUCAUCUGUUUGCUGAAUCUGAUUGCUUGUGAUUGUUUGCCUAUCUCAUCUGUUCAAAGCCCGUUGAUUUGAAAUAUGAAACGCGGCUCUUCCUAGCUCGUUCUGUUCUUAUUUUAUUUUUAUUUUCAUUUAUUUUUUUCAUUCUUCUCCUCCCGGCUCCAUUCCUUUCUUGUUUCGGCACAUUCCACUGUUUUCUUCUUUUAUUUUCCUUUCUGGUGAUCCGCCAUGGUCAUUCCUUCUGGACAAGUUUAAUACUGCGGAUGUUGGAGCAUGUUUGAAGCGCCACAUUGAUCCACCAUUCUUUAAAGUAGAAUCAGUGUCCUCUGGGAUGGUGAAGUCGCAGGCUUAGAGAUGAAAGAAAAUCCACAAAGAAGGUGGAAGAUGUACCAAACCCUGUUUUAUCACAGUUAACGAUGUUGGGGGAAUGGAAAACGAACAAGAGUUGGAGUGGUUUGAAACCCAGAAGACUGUAAUAAGUGGAGAUCUCGUCAGCUUCGGUCCCGUGUAAUUGUUGAUACGCACAGAUCAUUAAGAAAGACGGAUCACAACCAUUUUCCCUGUAAUCUAGGGUUCCAUUUCCUCAAUUCCUCUAGCAAGUUUUUCUGACGAAUCUCAGUUAUUCAGUGGAGGCAUUCUUCGCAAAUAUGUUUUUCCCUCCGUACCCCGAUCUCUUCCACCAUUUCAAAUUCAGUAAAGUUUUCAAGUUGAAAUCGAUUAUGACUAUCACUAAUUCGGGUUUCAUGAUGAAAAAAAAGAGGAAGUUGAUUACCUUACACACCGGAGCAAGAGAAACAGAUUGUUGAUGAUCUGAUGAAUGAAUCAGAGUCCAGAUUGAAAGAAGGCGCUGUAUUUUUGGUUGUCUCAUUUGCCCUUAAGGAGGUUGGGGAUAAUUUUAUCUUGAUCAAUCUAGCCAAUGUUGAGAGUUUCUUUGGGUCAAUUAUUGUUCUAGAGUUGAAGAGUUAGAAUGUGAAUGGGGUCCUGAUGCUUAAGACCAAUUGCAUAGACUGGUUGGAUCAGAUUAAUGUUGCAUAAAGUAUACACAUGGCUUGGCAGUCACGGACAAUCAGUGCCCAGGUAGCAUAUGGUUCCAUCACGCAAAAUAGUCUCCUUCAACCCGACAUUCAGUUCCGGGUGCCCCUGCUCACUUCAGAAAGAAAUGGCUAAUUCAGUUGUCAAUAACAGUUCUCUUCAUGUUUUGAACAAAUUCCGGACAUCAGAAAUAGGAGGUUGAUGGCUGGUUGAUGGAAGUAAAGAUGGCUAUGAGAUGGAAAAAGAUAUACUACUAGUCCAAAAGGAUGAAUCCACACUUGAAGAUUUGUGUAGCAAUACUACUUUUCACCAAGAAGACAUUAUACUUGCUGAAAUGGGCUCAGAAAAUUGGGGAUUACUGGAUGGUAAUGUGCUGGCACGAGUGUUCCAUUUUCUGAAAACUGAUGUAAAAUCCCCUGCUUUUACUGCUUUGACUUGUAAACAUUGGAGAGUUGCAGUAAGAUCUCUUCAAGGGUGCUUCCAGGCGGGUUGAUUUGUCAUCUGUUGGUUCUCUCUGCACUGACUCUAUGAUUUAGAGCAUGCCACAAAGUGCAUUGUGUUAGUUUCUGGAUUAUCUAUGGUAGAAAGGCUAAUCAGUCACAAGAUAUAGGCAACAAACUUGAUCAGUGGCUCAUGUAUGCAACGUUUAUAUGCUCGUGCUCAAUAAAUAAUAAAGAAGCUAGAAGGUUGGUAGCAAGUGAAGACCUUUGCCAUCUCACUUUUCCCUCAUUAAAAUCUCAUCCACUUUAAGGCAUACAUACGGAAUUUAGAUACAUUGAGUUCAGAUUAUUGUUUGAAGUGUCACAAUGAUAUGAGUUGAGGAGUUCUUUCUACCCAAGCGAUGUUCAUUCGCUCCAAUGGGUUUAAUCUCAUCCUUAGACUUGGUAUCUCUAAGACUUAUCAGUCUCUAUUCCUCCUGUUCUUAUACCAGCACCAAGCAGAUAUUUAGAAUACAAAAGGCAAUCCUCUUCCUAGGCUCGCAAUUCUGGGAUAGAAACGCAUGUUUCCGAAAUGAGAAACUACGGACAGAGUUAGGCAAGGAAGAGGCUUUAGUUAUAGUGACUAUCAGUGGAAAUUGAUGACCUGAACCUUCUGAUCUUUCACGACUGUGAGAAAGGUGACCUGCAGCCUGAAGUUUUCUGGUCAAUUGAACUCAAGCCCCUUGAUCGCCAGAUUGCCGAAGAGCAAAUCCAGUUCAUUUCUUUCCUUUUACUGGUUUUCUGGCUCAUCCCUACCUCAUGAAUACACCCAGUUAGGCAGUAUUACUGAAGUACCAAGGGACCUUAUUGAUCCCUACACUCUGGUCAGCAUCCUUCAACACGAGAAAUGGAAGUAUCAACUAGUUUUCAUAAGAACCAUCAAGCAUUCACUUGACAAGCAAGGAAAGCAUACAUGCAGGGAAUUGAUAAGUAAGCCACUGAUAGCAGAAUAUUGGGACCUCUAGAGUCGGCAGAAGUUGACUAAAGCGAUGAAAAUAAACUAGGAUCUGACGAAUCAGCUGAUUGAAUCAGAGAAGGCUGUGGAUGCAUUUGACAUAUUUUCUGAGAAUUUGAGCCAUCCAGAUCGCGAAGGUCUAGAAUUCCAACUCCUCCGGUUGAAGCUAAGAAACAGUUCUGUUUGCGUAACGGCAAAGGCAUAGAAGCUGAAGUUGGAAGGAUAUAUGUUUUGCAUGGGAAAGACUGCUAAUGAUCUAACAUAUCAAGUCUCAAAUAGAUACGAUUUCAGCAGUUUGAGGGAGCUUGACAGUAUUGGACAUAAUGAAUUGAAGCCUUUUCAAAAUCAGCAGUGGACGUAUUCUGUUCUAAAACACUUGAAGUUGGAGCACACUGAAGCAGUUUUGUAUUCUGAAAUUAGUACCCGAUUUUCUGGUGAUUCAAGUUCUUUAUUUGACUUCUCCUUUAUAGAGAAAACUCCUAGUGGCAUUGACCAGCCAGGAACUCACCAUAUGCAACAUCAGCAAGCUCAACAGCUCAUGAUUGUUCUACCAAAUUGUUGGAAAAGGGGUCCAUUUCGACAAGUGGCACAGUUUUCAUUAGUGCAUUAUUGAGGGAUGGAUAAAGAUGAUCAGCCUAAGGCCAAGCCAGAUGAUUGGGAAGAUGCAGCUGACUUCUCUACACCGAAAUGGGGAAGCUCUCACAACUAAAGCAACAAUUUUCCUAUGCAACGCCCCACUUCAAGACAUUAUUUUCAGAUUCAUGGAGAGGAAAGAUGAGGACUCGUGGCAAUGGUCUGAAUUUCCCAGAUUUGGAUGGAACGAAGCUCGCGAGGUGACAUCAGGGAAAUCUUCAAUUUGCCCUUGAUGGACAAACAGCAAACACAUACAGACUUUGUUUGUUUGUCCAGCUAAGAGACCAAUUGAUGCAGAAUUCUGGAACUGUUAUGGAAUUAGUAGAGCUUUUAAUGGGGAUACAGAUCUCCUUCCCGUUUCUUUUAAGGGAGUCUUUGUCAAACAGGACAAUUCUAACUCACCUUGAGGCAUGCUUCAAUACAGAGAAUUUCGAAAGACAGAAGAAUAAACUACAGGAAAGGUUCAAUUGUCCAGGCACUAAAGUUGUGAGAGAUGGCCAAAGUAUUCGGUUAUACUACCAGUGAGUCUAUUGCUAUGCGGAUCCAAGGAAGUCGGGUAAAGGCUAAUAAGGUUAAUCAGUUCUGAGAAAGAAGAAAUUGAACUAGACAAAUGAUUGAUGCUUAGAUCCAGAUCAGAAAGGCUUUGUAGCAUGCCGAUUGAAACGAGCGGUGGGAUCUAGGUUGAUUUAGAGAUUGAAGCAGAAUGGUCCAUCAAACACCUUUUUUUUUAAUAACUAGCAUAUUGCAAAGCUAUCAACAAGGGUCUUUUCAUGCAAUUAUCAACAGCUGAAUCAUUAGCACCUUCAUGCUUCCAAACUCUACUUCUAGCAUGGCCAUCUUGACGCACACCUCUUCCUCCAUUUUCUUCAUUGAGAAUUUACAGUUUUGAAUUGAUCUUUCAAACCCUUUUUCAACUGAAUAAACUUAGCUUUGAAGAUUCAUCAAAAUAACUUUAGUUUUCUUUAAAAGUUCCUUAGGAGUUUCUAGGUUUAAAAUCCAGAUUUCAACAAAUCUUUUGCUGUCAUUUUCCUUCCGGCAUGCGUUUUCACUAUUUUAUUUGAUUUUUAGCUAUUUUAAUGAUUUUCUCGAUUUUCAACAAGCAUGAAUAAACUUCAUAAUUCCAAAUCAUGGAAUUUAUGGAAUCAACUCAUGCGAAAUUAAUUAGGGCUUUGGUGGGGGCCCGACAUUCAUAACACUCACUUUAAUACUGUUUGCUUGAUAUGAUGAUUUUUGAUUAUUCUUGAUGAAAUACUUGAAUUCACUUUAUAUCUAUUGUUGAGAUACCCUUGUUCCCAUAGACGCGUGGAUGCCCGCUAUCCAGGUACACUCUUCCUGCCCUCAAACUCUAAAAUUCUAUGAAUGUGUAUGUUAUCAUGAGCCAUGUCCAUGUUUGAUGCCAUAAUUGAUUGUCUUGAUGCUUGUUUGAUCAUGUUUCAUAAAAAUACAUAUUAUGCGUCGUAUUUUCAAACUAACCUUUGAUGUCUUGUGAUAGCGCUUAAGAAGCAGUCUAGGUAUGUACCCUAAAUCUUCUUCAUGUUUGUGAUUGGUUUUCCUGCUAAGCAUGCUUUUUUUCGAAAUCACCUAGCCUACUUAGGUAUCCAUGAUUAAUCGGUUAAUUGCUAUAUUUCCCUCAACUUAGUCAGUAGAGACCUCUUUAGGGCUUAGAGGGGUGCUACCUCCUAGGGGUACCUUCCCAAUAAGUAACCUGAUCCCCGAACUUAGACUCAGGUUUCCCAAAGACAUGCUUUUUCCAAAACUAUGGAGUCACUUUUUAGGGUUUUUCUUUCUUGUUUUAUUUUCCCUUUAAAAUAAAAAUAAAAUAGGUGGCGACUCCAACUUUUU
This 19290-nucleotide long non-coding RNA is filed under the name Vitis vinifera (wine grape). RNAcentral describes it as "long non-coding RNA (VVIN_LNC005380)". The record is from RNAcentral. Lineage: Eukaryota; Viridiplantae; Streptophyta; Magnoliopsida; Vitales; Vitaceae.